This 113-nucleotide ribosomal RNA is filed under the name Cordylochernes scorpioides. The record is from RNAcentral. Lineage: Eukaryota; Metazoa; Arthropoda; Arachnida; Pseudoscorpiones; Chernetidae.
CUGUAUAUUGUGAUUGUGGAAUUCUAUUAUCAUUACUCACCGAAGUUAAGCAAUGUCGGGCCCGGUCAGUACUUGGGAGGGUGACCACCUGGGAACACCGGAUGCUGUAGGCU